This 62-nucleotide non-coding RNA is filed under the name Pyrobaculum arsenaticum DSM 13514. Its description in RNAcentral is "Pyrobac-1 RNA". It matches the Rfam family "Pyrobac-1 RNA". From Rfam's summary of the family: The motif has been shown by to be part of sRNA202 and sRNA203 canonical and noncanonical pseudouridine guide RNA (H/ACA RNA). The record is from Rfam by way of RNAcentral. Lineage: Archaea; Thermoproteati; Thermoproteota; Thermoprotei; Thermoproteales; Thermoproteaceae.
AGCGCCGGGACUACGCCGGGUGAGAGCGGCUGGCGCCGCACUGUGGGCCCGGCGGGGUGCCU